GAUGAACGCUGGCGGCGUGCCUAAUACAUGCAAGUCGAGCGAACAGACGAGGAGCUUGCUCCUCUGACGUUAGCGGCGGACGGGUGAGUAACACGUGGAUAACCUACCUAUAAGACUGGGAUAACUUCGGGAAACCGGAGCUAAUACCGGAUAAUAUAUUGAACCGCAUGGUUCAAUAGUGAAAGACGGUUUUGCUGUCACUUAUAGAUGGAUCCGCGCCGCAUUAGCUAGUUGGUAAGGUAACGGCUUACCAAGGCAACGAUGCGUAGCCGACCUGAGAGGGUGGUCGGCCACACUGGAACUGGACCACGGUCAAGACUCCUACGGGAGGCAGCAGUAGGGAAUCUUCCGCAAUGGGCGAAAGCCUGACGGAGCAACGCCGCGUGAGUGAUGAAGGUCUUCGGAUCGUAAAACUCGGUUAUUAGGGAAGAACAAAUGUGUAAGUAACUAUGCACGGCUUGACGGUACCUAAUCAGAAAGCCACGGCUAACUACGUG
This 497-nucleotide ribosomal RNA is filed under the name uncultured bacterium. RNAcentral describes it as "partial 16S ribosomal RNA". It matches the Rfam family "Bacterial small subunit ribosomal RNA", at positions 28 to 507 of the family's 1533-position model. The record is from RNAcentral.